GAGCAUGUUUUAUUUAUUUAUCAUUUAUUCAUUUUAUUGCUGUUGUUGAUCUGAAUCUUGCUACUGCAGAGAAGAGAUGCAACAACGACUAGCGGAUUGCGAACGUGCGGGAACUCCAGUGGCGAGGAGUUAAUGUGAUGUUUUGUUGUUAUAUUUUGUAAAGAAAGAGAACAAUAAAGUUCUUGAAGGGGUGGAGACGGUGAUUGCUGUUGCGAGCCACUCGCGGUUUCUUCCCCUCCUUCGAGAGCUCUUGUUUUCACAGUUGUGUACGUGCUGUGUUGUCCCACCAGCUUCCGACUGGCUCAUGCGCAGAAACGUUUGAUUGAAGUUAAAAUAUCCAUAUCCUGCAUGAUUUUAAUGUUACAAUUUGUUUAUAUUGCCAAAGAGUACAAUUCAACCCCUCAUGUAUUAAAAAUAAAUAAAUAACAACAACAACAACAAUAUUCAUACAAGUAAUGUUUAAACUAAAAUGUAAUGGAGAUAUAAAAUACCUUUCAAGACUC
RNAcentral lists this long non-coding RNA (503 nucleotides) under Physcomitrium patens. Its description in RNAcentral is "long non-coding RNA (PPAT_LNC014431)". Lineage: Eukaryota; Viridiplantae; Streptophyta; Bryopsida; Funariales; Funariaceae. The record is from RNAcentral.